Transfer RNA from Capsaspora owczarzaki ATCC 30864, 92 nucleotides. It matches the Rfam family "tRNA". From Rfam's summary of the family: Transfer RNA (tRNA) molecules are approximately 80 nucleotides in length. Their secondary structure includes four short double-helical elements and three loops (D, anti-codon, and T loops). The record is from Rfam. Lineage: Eukaryota; Filasterea; Ministeriida; Capsasporidae.
GCACUCGUGGUAGAGUGGUUAAUGUCAAUUCUUACGUUUGACUCGAAAUCAAAUCCGAGUUUCGGGCACAGGUUCGAGUCCUGUCGAGUGCG